CUGUCUCUACAAAAAAAAAAGAAAGAAAUAUAUUUUCUUGCUGUGGACAUGACCAUAAAAAAAACUUCCCACUAGGUUUUUAUCUGCUACUUUGCUAGCACUCAGCCUACUAGGGACAUUU
Molecule: small nucleolar RNA, 121 nt
Organism: Nycticebus coucang (slow loris)
Lineage: Eukaryota; Metazoa; Chordata; Mammalia; Primates; Lorisidae
Product: small nucleolar RNA SNORA32
Exons: 1
Source: RefSeq, a predicted model, not a curated record